RNAcentral lists this ribosomal RNA (253 nucleotides) under uncultured bacterium. RNAcentral's name for it is "partial 16S ribosomal RNA". It matches the Rfam family "Bacterial small subunit ribosomal RNA", at positions 524 to 776 of the family's 1533-position model. The record is from RNAcentral.
UACGUAGGGAGCAAGCGUUGUCCGGAUUUACUGGGUGUAAAGGGUGCGUAGGCGGCUUUGCAAGUCAGAAGUGAAAUCUAUGGGCUUAACCCAUAAACUGCUUUUGAGACUGCAGGGCUUGAGUGAAGUAGAGGUAGGCGGAAUUCCCGGUGUAGCGGUGAAAUGCGUAGAGAUCGGGAGGAACACCAGUGGCGAAGGCGGCCUACUGGGCUUUAACUGACGCUGAGGCACGAAAGCGUGGGUAGCAAACAGG